UUUCACAUAUACUGAUAUUUGACCCAAAACCCACCCAGCCAAUGGAAGCCUUCUGAUGAAAACCAUUUUAUGGAAGGUGCUUGGAAACCUCCUAGAGAUUACCAGUGUCUUGUAGACUUCAUGCUGCCCUAUACUAGAGGUCAUAACUGGGACACAUUGAUGGACUGAAAAGAAUUCAAGCACAGAUAAUAAUAAGGGCUGUACAGCAGGAUUUAUGAAGAGAAGUUAAGCAUCGAAUGUGCACAGUUUGUCUCUGACAGCCUGACAUGAGAGCAGUGUAAAUACAAAUGAAAAGGAAGAGGUGUCGUUUAACAUAAUAGAAAGAUGUUGUCAGCAAGGGCUUUCCCUGGUCCUUACUUCAAGUGAUUGAUUGGAGAUUGAAGAACAUCUAAAAUGCAUGCUUACUGCCUAUACACAGCUUGAUUACAAACCCAAAACACUCAAGCAGGAUUUAGGACUGAGAAGUGUGAGAAAUUGUGUGACUCCUUACUUUAAAUCAAGAAGGCAAUCAUCUGUCAAGGCAAUCUAUUUUUCCUGGUUUAUCUUCUAAGAAGAAAUGUACAGCUGAUAAAUUUAUAGAAGCUAACAUAAGCGGGUAAUUUUAAAGGAAACAUUCACCAUCUUCUAGGAAUCCUUUCUGCUCAAAUUUGUCUGGCUACCAAAUAUCCUACAGAAGGGCUAGUACUGACUGCUUUAAUUCUCCCUCCAGUCCUCCACAGCUAUGGAUUCUCAAUCCCUCUCUUCAGGUUAACCUCUACUUUAUUCUGAAGGUUGCUCUACUGGGGAGAGGAGCUAUGUUUGAUCAGUACAAGAACUUGGAAUCCACAUAUGUCCUAAAUGCUACAAAAGAAGCAGCAAUU
Melopsittacus undulatus (budgerigar) is the source of this 860-nucleotide long non-coding RNA. RefSeq lists it as uncharacterized. The record is from RefSeq and is a predicted model, not a curated record. The transcript has 3 exons. Lineage: Eukaryota; Metazoa; Chordata; Aves; Psittaciformes; Psittaculidae.